This 218-nucleotide small nuclear RNA is filed under the name Spermophilus dauricus (Daurian ground squirrel). Its description in RNAcentral is "7SK RNA (ENSSDAG00000020988.1)". It matches the Rfam family "7SK RNA". Rfam says of the family: 7SK was discovered as an abundant small nuclear RNA in the mid-70s but a possible function has only recently been suggested. Lineage: Eukaryota; Metazoa; Chordata; Mammalia; Rodentia; Sciuridae. The record is from RNAcentral.
AGGAGGUCCGCUCUUCAUGCAUCCCUCCCAAAGCUGCACGUUCCAUCCCAGAAGAUGACCUUCCCUGACAGAGGAGGAUGAUUCUUCCGUAAGGAUCUAUGAGUAGCUGCUCUCUCCUGCUAGAACUUCCAAACAAGCUCUCAAGAAGUGAGGCAUAGAGAAGAGCCACUUGAUCAUGGUUCACAAGCACAUAUUUAUCACCUGAGGGUAUAUUCUUU